GGGGGCAGGGGAACGAGUGGACUUUAAGGGAUCGUUUCGUUCUAAAAGGUUAACGUGUUACCAGAGUCUCCUCACGAGGAAGCUGAAGUGCUGAGGUCUGGUGGUGGUGAGCAUUUUGCUUGAACAGCCAAACUCUUCACAACGUGUCGACAUGGAUCUCCAAAUACACCAUUGGAAAUGCCAAUGCUGCAACUAGUUCUUCCUAUACAAGCCUGAGAUACAACAGACAAGGAAUUUGCAGCAUGGCAUUUUCCUUGUGAGAACUUUUGACAGCUGCCAUUCGGACUUCCAUAG
Molecule: unclassified non-coding RNA, 294 nt
Filed under: Hevea brasiliensis (rubber tree)
Lineage: Eukaryota; Viridiplantae; Streptophyta; Magnoliopsida; Malpighiales; Euphorbiaceae
Source: RNAcentral